AUUAAGAACAAACAGCCAGAUACAACUUUUGGCUCCUUCUUCCAUAAAAGAAAAAAUGAUGUAAGCCCAAGAUAUAAGAAAUCCAAAAACAAUCGCAACGGAAUUUAAAAGUAAAAAAGGAAUCAUGACUUUAAAUUUGUUCUGAAAUAAAAGCAUUCAAUGAAAAAAGAUAAAAACAUCCAUAAAUAAUACCACUGAUAAAGUUGAUUACUAUGACAUACCAAGAAAAUAUGAAACCCAUCACCAGGCAAACACAUUUUAUAAUAAGAGAUUAUUCAGAACGAUGUAAGCUAAGUUGUGUUGUCGAAUGUCUUCUGAAAAAAUGUAUUUAAUAUCAACUGCAUCUCUGGAACGUUCGAUUGAAUUUUUAAUAUCGUCGUUUCUACACUAAUCGUUUUUUUCUAAUGAUCAAGAUAAUGAAAAAUAAAACGAUCUAUAAUUUUAAUAUUAAUAUUCUAAUACGUCAA
Molecule: long non-coding RNA, 467 nt
Organism: Chelonus insularis
Lineage: Eukaryota; Metazoa; Arthropoda; Insecta; Hymenoptera; Braconidae
Exons: 3
Source: RefSeq, a predicted model, not a curated record